GGCUCUGUGGCGCAAUGGAUAGCGCAUUGGACUUCUAGCCGAUCCCGGUGUGGUGAUUCAAAGGUUGUGGGUUCGAGUCCCACCAGAGUCG
This 91-nucleotide transfer RNA is filed under the name Mustela putorius furo (domestic ferret). It matches the Rfam family "tRNA". From Rfam's summary of the family: Transfer RNA (tRNA) molecules are approximately 80 nucleotides in length. Their secondary structure includes four short double-helical elements and three loops (D, anti-codon, and T loops). Further hydrogen bonds mediate the characteristic L-shaped molecular structure. tRNAs have two regions of fundamental functional importance: the anti-codon, which is responsible for specific mRNA codon recognition, and the 3' end, to which the tRNAs corresponding amino acid is attached (by aminoacyl-tRNA synthetases). tRNAs cope with the degeneracy of the genetic code in two manners: having more than one tRNA (with a specific anti-codon) for a particular amino acid; and 'wobble' base-pairing, i.e. permitting non-standard base-pairing at the 3rd anti-codon position. Lineage: Eukaryota; Metazoa; Chordata; Mammalia; Carnivora; Mustelidae. The record is from Rfam by way of RNAcentral.